CCCCACCACCGGGCCACUCAAUGAUGACGCUUCCACGGGGGCCCUGCCUGAGGAGGACGCAGUGGCGGCGAGGCCGCAGGAGGCUGCGGGGGAUGGAGGAGUGGAAGGAGGAGGGCGAGGCUGAGAUCCAGGAGCAUGGGCCGGAGCACUGGUUCUCCAAGUGGGAGCGGCAGUGCCUGGCCGAGGCCGAGCAGGAUGAGCAGCUGCCCCCCGAGCUGCAGGAGGAGGCGGCGGCCGCCACACAGCCCAAGCACAAGCAGCAGAAGCUGUGGCACCUCUUCCAGAACUCGGCCACCACUGUGGCCCAGCUCUACAAAGACCGAGUGUGUCAGCAGCCAGGACUUUCUCUCUGGGUCCCCUUCCAAAACGCAGCCACCGCCGUCACCAACCUCUACAAAGAAAGCGUGGAUACCCACCAGGGAAGUUUUGAUAUUGAAAUUCAGAUUGGCUAUCAGCGACACAAUAAGGAUGUGUUGGCUUGGGUUAAAAAACGCAGAAGAACUAUUCGUAGAGAAGAUUUGAUCAGCUUCCUGUGUGGAAAAUUUCCUCCACCAUGAAACUCUAAAGCUCCCCCAAGACUGACUGUAGUGUCCCCUAACUGAUUUGCAACCCUUCCGGGAAGCCAUAGCUCUGCAUGGUCUUAGUGGUGCAAUGGCUAGUAUAAGCAUGUGCUCGAGAACCCCAGGCUCUCCUACCCAUGUAAGCAGUGGAUCGAAUGGUAGUCGAAGGAGAAAUGGACUCCAUGAUGCUGAUUUGAACACUUUCAUAUCAGAAGAAAUGGCACUCCACUUGGACAAUGGUGGAACUAGAAAGUGUACCUCAGCCCAGUGUGGCGAUGUCAUUACAGACUCACCAACCCAUAAACACAACAGAAUGAUCUAAAAUGCAGACAUUUUCACACCCACCAUGCUGCUUGAAAGCCACUUGAUCCUCAAUAUAUAUUAUUAUUGCAAAGGAAACAUGAGGCCAUCUUCCCUGUUCACUGUUUAAGACAAGUGAAUUCUAUAGUGGUUGCCAUAAAAGGAAGUUCUAGGUAUUUACAGUAGAUGCCUCUUGUAACUAUGACUUUCUUAAAACUAUAAUCCUAGCAGAGGACAUCAGAUAUCGUGUAGUCAUUAGCAAGAUCAUCAUAGGCAAACAUAUAUCUGUUCCAAGGCUAAAAGUGACCUUAACUGUAUUUAUUCUCAAAGGGAAAGGAAAUAUCAGAUGUUUAUUUGGUUAUAGAAUGCUUUCUUUCUUUUUUGGUCCAUUUGCUGCUGUGUUGCUUCUACAGUAUUGCCAGUUUCCUAAAAUUGUCUACAAACACGAUUUGGCUUCCGUUUUUGCAGCAGCACUGUACCAUGCACCUGGUUUCUAUAUAGUAGCAGUGUGCCACUUCGAGUUAUUGGACUGUGCCCUGUUUUUAGUUUUCAAAGCAGUUUCUAAUUCUGGUGAUUGUGUGAUGUAAAGAGGUGCUAUGAUGGUCAUGCAAUUAAUACUUAAUAGUCAAUACACA
Carlito syrichta (Philippine tarsier) is the source of this 1495-nucleotide RNA transcript. It is a transcript of the gene named UPF0472 protein C16orf72 pseudogene, with no coding region annotated. Lineage: Eukaryota; Metazoa; Chordata; Mammalia; Primates; Tarsiidae. The record is from RefSeq and is a predicted model, not a curated record. The transcript has a single exon.